GAUGGGGUUAUAGCUCAGUGGUAGAGUGCUUGCCUCUCAUGUGUGAGGCACUGGGUUGGAUCCUCAGCCCCAUUA
Molecule: transfer RNA, 75 nt
Filed under: Marmota monax (woodchuck)
Lineage: Eukaryota; Metazoa; Chordata; Mammalia; Rodentia; Sciuridae
Description: tRNA.Glu
Rfam family: tRNA
About the family: Transfer RNA (tRNA) molecules are approximately 80 nucleotides in length.
Source: RNAcentral